GACAGAGGUGGCAAGCGUUGUUCGGAAUUACUGGGCUUAAAGGGCGCGUAGGUGGUGAUAUAAGUCCGGGGUGGAAGGCUGAGGCUUAACCUCAGAAUUGCCUUGGAUACUGUAUGACUUGAGUCAGCAAGGGGAUGGCGGAAUUCCAGGUGUAGCGGUGAAAUGCGUAGAUAUCUGGAGGAAGGCCGGUGGCGAAGGCGGCCAUCUGGUGCUGAACUGACACUGAGGCGCGAAAGCGUGGGGAGCAAACAGG
This 253-nucleotide ribosomal RNA is filed under the name uncultured bacterium. Its description in RNAcentral is "partial 16S ribosomal RNA". It matches the Rfam family "Bacterial small subunit ribosomal RNA", at positions 524 to 776 of the family's 1533-position model. The record is from RNAcentral.